AAAGAAGGCCAAGUCAGGGAGACGCCAUGUAGCCGCCACAGCAGACAGACGCCUCCACUGGACUAAGACUUUGCUGUGCAAGGCAAGCUGUUUCUAAAACUGUCAACAGGGAGGAAAAAAGGAGGGAGAAGUCUGAACUAAAUGACCAGAAAGGAAGGAGGCUCACGAUGCCCACCCCAGCUAAGAAGAUGUUGGCAGUUAAUGGUUGCCGGGGGAGAGGGUGUGGCCAUUGGUUUAAAACACAAAAUGAGCAACAGAAAAAAAAAGUGUAAGAGCGACCGAGGCCAUCGACAUAGAGCUGGCCAAACAGACUGAAGCCUCGCCAUAGGG
Myodes glareolus (Bank vole) is the source of this 330-nucleotide long non-coding RNA. RefSeq lists it as uncharacterized. The record is from RefSeq and is a predicted model, not a curated record. Lineage: Eukaryota; Metazoa; Chordata; Mammalia; Rodentia; Cricetidae.